Long non-coding RNA from Cucurbita maxima (winter squash), 199 nucleotides. RefSeq lists it as uncharacterized. The record is from RefSeq and is a predicted model, not a curated record. NCBI's taxonomy places the organism in Eukaryota, Viridiplantae, Streptophyta, Magnoliopsida, Cucurbitales, Cucurbitaceae. The transcript has 2 exons.
GAGCGUCGUCGUCAGAGCCGCUGUUUUGGAACUUGAGAACCGCCCGUGUCCAGCGUCCGCUACUACCUACCGGCUGAACCGAGCUACUCAAUCUGAACCUGCGGCACUCCUCAGUUGGCUGGCAGAUGUAUCUCUCACUCUCUUACAGUCAUGUGUUUGGGGAGUGUUUUUCUCUGUAUAUCCAAAAGUUUUUACUAGG